GAUGAACGCUAGCGGCAGGCCUCAUACAUGCAAGUCGAGGGGCAGCAUGACACUUCGGUGUUGAUGGCGACCGGCGAACGGGUGCGUAACGCGUAUGCAAUCUGCCUUGUACUGAAGAAUAGCUUCUGGAAACGGGAAUUAAUACUUCAUAAUAUCAUUUCAUCGCAUGGUGAUUUGAUUAAAGCUCCGGCGGUACAAGAUGAGCAUGCGUCCCAUUAGCUUGUUGGUAAGGUAACGGCUUACCAAGGCUACGAUGGGUAGGGGGUCUGAGAGGAUGAUCCCCCACACUGGCACUGAGAUACGGGCCAGACUCCUACGGGAGGCAGCAGUAGGGAAUAUUGGGCAAUGGGCGCAAGCCUGACCCAGCCAUGCCGCGUGCAGGAUUGAAGGUCCUUAGGAUCGUAAACUGCUUUUUUAUGGGAGCAAAAACUUUCUGCGGAAAGCUUUGAGAGUACCAUAAGAAUAAGCACCGGCUAACUCCG
Molecule: ribosomal RNA, 482 nt
Filed under: uncultured Cytophagales bacterium
Lineage: Bacteria; Pseudomonadati; Bacteroidota; Sphingobacteriia; Sphingobacteriales
Description: bacterial SSU rRNA
Rfam family: Bacterial small subunit ribosomal RNA
Source: RNAcentral